GAAGGCAGAAGCUGAGAAAAUAUUGCAGAUCAAGCGGGCUGAAGGAGAGGCAGAGUCCAAAUACCUAUCAGGGCUUGGCAUAGCUCGUCAACGUCAGGCCAUUGUUGAUGGACUGAGGGAUAGCGUGCUUGCCUUCUCUGAGAAUGUGCCUGGUACGAGUGCCAAGGAUGUGAUGGAUAUGGUGCUGGUGACUCAGUACUUUGAUACCAUGAAGGAGAUUGGGGCAUCCUCAAAGUCAUCUUCUGUUUUCAUCCCUCAUGGACCUGGCGCAGUGAGAGACAUCACUUCACAGAUUCGUGAUGGACUUCUUCAGGGAAAUUCUGCUCAGUAGUGAUGGAAUUCAAGCUUUGAAUGGAUUUACUUGGUUGAUGUUUGGCAUCUUAAGUUUUAUCUCUAGCUUUUUCAGAGUUUGU
RNAcentral lists this long non-coding RNA (413 nucleotides) under Populus trichocarpa (black cottonwood). RNAcentral describes it as "long non-coding RNA (PTRI_LNC003828)". Lineage: Eukaryota; Viridiplantae; Streptophyta; Magnoliopsida; Malpighiales; Salicaceae. The record is from RNAcentral.